CGGGGUAUGGCCCAAUUGGUAGGGCGCUCGCUUCGGGUGCGAGAGGUUCCCGGUUCGAGUCCGGGUACCCCGA
This 73-nucleotide transfer RNA is filed under the name Candidatus Kerfeldbacteria bacterium RIFCSPLOWO2_01_FULL_48_11. RNAcentral's name for it is "tRNA-Pro". It matches the Rfam family "tRNA". Rfam says of the family: Transfer RNA (tRNA) molecules are approximately 80 nucleotides in length. Their secondary structure includes four short double-helical elements and three loops (D, anti-codon, and T loops). RNAcentral also lists the same sequence under 1 other name. Lineage: Bacteria; Candidatus Kerfeldiibacteriota. The record is from RNAcentral.